This 1202-nucleotide long non-coding RNA is filed under the name Chrysolophus pictus (golden pheasant). RNAcentral describes it as "lncRNA (ENSCPIG00010009982.1)". Lineage: Eukaryota; Metazoa; Chordata; Aves; Galliformes; Phasianidae. The record is from RNAcentral.
AUGCCAAAAUAUCACCGUGCUCAAAGAAAUCACACAAACACACGCACGCAAAUAUUGAUGGCUUUGAUGCUGAAGAUGAAGGCCCUAAAGAAGAAGGGGAUGAAGGUGGAGGCCACAAGGAGGACGGUGAAGAUGACACCAGAGGCAAAGGUCCCGAAGAAAAGCACAGCGGGGAGGAUGAGGAAGGUGACACUGAAGAUGAAGGCCUCGAGGAGGAUGGGGAGGAUGAGGAAGGUGAUGCUGAAGAUGAAGGCCCUGAGGAUGGUGAGGAUGAGGAAGGGGGUGAUGCUGAAGAUGAAGGCCUCGAGGAGGAUGAGGAGGAUGGUGAGGAUGAGGAAGGUGACACUGAAGAUGAAGGCUUCGAGGAGGAUGGUGAGGAUGAGAAUGAGGAAGGUGACACUGAAGAUGAAGGCCUCGAGGAGGAUGGGGAGGAUGAGGAGGAUGGUGAGGAUGAGGAAGGUGACACUGAAGAUGAAGGCCUCGAGGAGGAUGGUGAGGAUGAGGAGGAUGGUGAGGAUGAGGAAGGUGACGCUGAAGAUGAAGGCCUCGAGGAGGAUGGUGAGGAUGAGGAGGAUGGUGAGGAUGAGGAGGAUGGUGAGGAUGAGGAGGACGACACCAAAACCCUAUAGGGGGUGGGGAUGAAGGCCACGAUGAGGAAGACAACGAUAAGAACGGAGGACGAAGAACGGAUUCAGGGCUGCGAGCGGCCGUCACCCCUCAGCCUUCCUCCCUCCUCUUCCUCCUCCUCCUCCCCCCGACCCCCCCCCCCCCAAAAAACCCUCUCCCCAUCAGCACAAGGCCUUUAAUGAGCGGCGCCCUUAACGAAGGCGACGCCUCUUAACGAAGCGCAAACGCGGCCAGACCUCCAACGGAGACCACCGCAGAGUCCCCACCUCCGUUCCGACGCCGCCAGGAGGUGACAAAACCUGAGGGGGGGUCCCUCGGGGGUCCCUCGGGGGUCCCGUUAGAUGCGGAAGCUCUCGGCCUUGCCGUCGAUGUGCCGCAGCCUCAGGUAGACGUCGGUUCCCACCCCCUGCAGGGACUGCAGGCACAGGGAGCCGCCCAGGUAUUCGGCGUAGGCUCUGGAGGUGGGCAGCCCGAAGCCGAAGCUGUGGGGUUUUGUCGGGGUGUCAAGGAGGCGUCGAACCCUUUGUGGGGUGUCGGUGAAUAAAUCGGGGUUGUGCGGGUGUCUUUUUUUUUUU